This 253-nucleotide ribosomal RNA is filed under the name uncultured bacterium. Its description in RNAcentral is "partial 16S ribosomal RNA". It matches the Rfam family "Bacterial small subunit ribosomal RNA", at positions 524 to 776 of the family's 1533-position model. The record is from RNAcentral.
UACGUAGGGUGCAAGCGUUAAUCGGAAUUACUGGGCGUAAAGCGUGCGCAGGCGGUUUUGUAAGACCGAUGUGAAAUCCCCGGGCUUAACCUGGGAACUGCAUUGGUGACUGCAAGGCUAGAGUGUGUCAGAGGGGGGUGGAAUUCCACGUGUAGCAGUGAAAUGCGUAGAUAUGCGGAGGAACACCGAUGGCGAAGGCAAUCCCCUGGGCCUGCACUGACGCUCAUGCACGAAAGCGUGGGGAGCAAACAGG